GGCUAUCUAGUGCAAUGGUAGCACAUUUGGCUUCAAUUGCUGAGCGUACCAAAAGGUUGUAAAUUCGAGUCCUGCGGUGGUAA
This is a transfer RNA of 83 nucleotides. It matches the Rfam family "tRNA". Rfam says of the family: Transfer RNA (tRNA) molecules are approximately 80 nucleotides in length. Their secondary structure includes four short double-helical elements and three loops (D, anti-codon, and T loops). The record is from Rfam.